GUGCUGCUCCGCCGCCAAAGCUCGCGCGGGGGAAGCGGGGCUGUAGCUGGGCAGGGAGAGGGCGGACGAAAUCGGUAGCGAUCUCGGCUGCGGCGCUGCCGCAGCUGCCCGGCCCGCGGGGCGCGCCCUGACCCUUCAUCUUUGGGCAGGCUCGAGGGCGCGCGCACGGUUGGCGUUCUGGGGCCUCAAACUCCUGGGCCUUGACCGGGCAGGCCGCGUCUCCCCGGGUGUGAGUCCACCGGGACCCGGCCGCCGCCUAAGCGCGGGCGCCACAGAAGCGGCGGCGCCCGAAGACGCGCUCCUGGCUCGGCCCGACAGCCUCGCUUGGCCGCCAGUUCUUCUGCAGCCGAAGGCGGUUGUUCUUUUAAAGAAUUAUUGAAGACGAAGGUUUUUUUCUUUUUAUUUUUUUAAUGGCUUUACAGAAUCUUAAAUAGAAUACAGUUUGACAUGACGGCAAAAAAUGUUGGUUUGACUUCCACAAAUGCAGAAGUAAGAGGAUUUAUAGAUCAGAAUCUCAGUCCAACAAAAGAUUAUAAGCACACCACAGAGACUAACCAGUUCAGGAAGUGUUCUGA
RNAcentral lists this long non-coding RNA (575 nucleotides) under Homo sapiens (human). Its description in RNAcentral is "non-protein coding lnc-TFDP2-1:4". The record is from RNAcentral. Lineage: Eukaryota; Metazoa; Chordata; Mammalia; Primates; Hominidae.